Cinara cedri is the source of this 710-nucleotide non-coding RNA. Lineage: Eukaryota; Metazoa; Arthropoda; Insecta; Hemiptera; Aphididae. The record is from the annotation of a GenBank genome assembly.
UUUGCUUUUAUAUGUACACAGAUUAAACACUUAUUGGAUUUUAUUUAUUUAUAAUAAAUUAGGCUUGCACUCACACAUCAACAUAAUUACAAGUUAUUGAAAUUAUAUUAAAUUACAAGGUAGGCAUAAAAUAUAUAUUUGGUUCGAAGAGGAGAAAAGUGUUGGUUUAAGAUACUAAAAAGAUUAAAAAUAAAAGAAGGGUUGGAAUUGACAGUAGACAUAAGGUGUAUAAUUGAUUCAUUGAGUUUGUAAUUAAUAGUAGAGCGGUAAGGAAGAACAGGCAAUCAAUUUUCUUUGGAAAGGAUUUUCUGCAGGAAGUUAUUAUUAGCAGAACGUCUGCAGUUAGCUAAGCUUACUAAAUUAACAUUAUAGAAGACGGGGUCAUAGAUAAUUGGAAGGUGAUCAACUUUGAGCAGGAAAGUUGCAUGUUUAAAAAAUUUGCUGGGAAAAAUUAAAAAAUUACCUCUCUAAAGAACAUUAAUAUUUUAUUUUAGAAACAUUGUUAUAAUUACAAUUGGAGCGAAAUUGCCAGUAGAAAAGUUGUGCACAGAAAAAAGGAAGGCCGUAAUAUUUUAUUUAUUAUAUUUAGUAAAUUGUCCCGUCUUUAUUCGGUUUUUCGCACUUGAUGAGAAAACUACUAAGAAAAUUGAAAUCCGGUUUUUAAUCCAAGUCUUGGUAGAAAAAUUGCACACAGAUUAAAAAAAAAAAUC